GAUGAACGCUGACAGAAUGCUUAACACAUGCAAGUCGAUGGGGAAGUGGUGCUUGCACCAUGGUAACCAUGGCGGACGGGUGAGUAACGCGUAAGGAACUUGCCUGCGGGACUGGGAUAACAGCAGGAAACUGCUGAUAAUACCGGAUAAGGUCAUUAAGCUGCAUAGCUUAGUGAUGAAAGGAGACGCCUGCGGAGAGCCUUGCGUCCUAUUAGCUAGUUGGAGGGGUAACGGCCCACCAAGGCGAAGAUGGGUAGCCGGCCUGAGAGGGUGGACGGCCACAAGGGGACUGAGAUACGGCCCUUACUCCUACGGGAGGCAGCAGUGGGGAAUAUUGGACAAUGGGGGCAACCCUGAUCCAGCAAUUCUGUGUGCACGAAGACGGUUUUCGGAUUGUAAAGUGCUUUCAGCAGGGAAGAAGGAAGUGACGGUACCUGCAGAAGAAGCGACGGCUAAAUACGUG
This 463-nucleotide ribosomal RNA is filed under the name uncultured bacterium. Its description in RNAcentral is "partial 16S ribosomal RNA". It matches the Rfam family "Bacterial small subunit ribosomal RNA", at positions 28 to 507 of the family's 1533-position model. The record is from RNAcentral.